RNAcentral lists this long non-coding RNA (1177 nucleotides) under Drosophila guanche. Lineage: Eukaryota; Metazoa; Arthropoda; Insecta; Diptera; Drosophilidae. The record is from RNAcentral.
UCCAUAAAAAGCUAUAAAAGUAAAUUUAUUUCAUUAAUUUCCCUGAUUUUUGUGUCCCCAAACGUAUCCAAAUUGCAACUGCCUUACAGCCCUGAGUCGUACUGUAUAAAAAGUAUACAAAAUUGUACUUCAAAGUAAACUAUAAAACAAAAACAAACAAAAAAACACUAAUAAGAAACAAUGGAAACAAGUUAAAAUUAGAUGUCAGAUGGCAAGCCAAAGUUGCAGAUGCACAGACACAGAUACAGCUAGAGAUGGAGAUAGAGACAAGUGUACAAAGAGCUAAAGAGAGAAACAGAAAUGUAGUUAUAGAGGAAGCAAAUUAAUAGUGUCUGUGUCUGUGUCUGUGUCUGUGGAUGGGCUUUUGGCUCUGGCUCUGGCUUGGGCAAUUAAACUCCACUCAAAACUGGGCCGACACGAACAGACCUAAAUAGUCGACGAUACAUACGCAUACCUAUCAUACAAUACAUAUACAAACAAACACAUAAGAUACACACACAUAAACUUGCAUUAGCCAACCAUAUUGUGACUUACAACAAACAACAAGCAAACGCGAAACUUAGCCAGCUAAACAAAUUGAUAUAGACGAUCUACAUAGUACAUACAAUAUACCACACAUACGGGUAUAAUAAACACUAUACCGACUACGCCUAUGCCGCAGCAUAACCACUAACUAGGCCAUCAGCAAGUUAUAUAAAUAAUGAAAUAAAAAUAUAUAUUUACGGGUAGUACGAGUAUGUAUAGAUACAUGUGCAAUCCAUCCGGUAUGCGCGAUGGCACGGAGCGGUGGAUUGCAUACCGAAAACCAAACGAGAAAAUUAUUUCCAGCAGUUCGAGCGCUGAAUUAACAAAAAACUUAUCGAGCAUGAAAAAUGCCAACAAGUUAGAAAUCUAUUAAAACAAAAACGGAAAAAAUUACAAAAAAAAAAAACAAACUAUGAAUUAUUAUCAAUUCUGCUGUGAAACAAAUUAAAUAUUUAACACAAAGAUCUUUCUUAAUUUACUGGAAAUCCUCUUGUGAAUGUUUUAUAUUUUUUUUGUUGCUUGUGCUCUUCAGACAGCUGCUAAUUAUGGUUAGGAUUUAGGCUAAGAAUCGAAACUGCCAAGGCCACAGAACAGAUCUUUCAUUUAAUUGUUCGCAAAUACUCAGAUGAGAAAUAUAACUAAAAUCUUGUGG